GAGGACAAACCUGACUGGGGCAGCAUAGGGAUCAACCACCAAACCCUAGUGGGGGCAAGACUAAAACCCUCAAUCACAAGGAAAAACAGCCUGUUAACAACCACUGGACUGCCUACUUGACGUUAAUUAAGACUUGUCAUUAGAUGCUGUCAACUCUUAUUUAUCUUUGAUAACCCCCAGAGCCAUGUAAAUGUCAUGAUUGGCAUUUGAAACAAGCAGAGUCUGAAGUCCACAAGAAUAUGUUAGGUGAAGAAUAUUAUGAAAAAUGUAAAUCAUUAUGAAAUUGUUUUAAUCUUUCUUCAUGCCUGAUGAAUGAGUAUUCAGUUAUUGGUUAAGAAAUUUGACUAAAAUUGUAGGGAGCUUUGACCAGAGAAGUAAAAAUUGUGAAAAAAAAAUUAGACAUUCUAUCUUUAACUAGCAGCUGGGAAACUUGAUAUUCUGAUGCAAAACAAUUAGAUUGUUGAUUUCCAUCGUCUUUGUGGAUUCUUCACAUAAUAUGCUUUGAUUUGCAGGCAAUAUCACAAGGUAUUCUUUCAGAAGUCAGACUUAUUCUUCCUGUGCAUGUUGCGC
This 570-nucleotide long non-coding RNA is filed under the name Panax ginseng (ginseng). RNAcentral describes it as "long non-coding RNA (PGIN_LNC010000)". The record is from RNAcentral. Lineage: Eukaryota; Viridiplantae; Streptophyta; Magnoliopsida; Apiales; Araliaceae.